This 171-nucleotide ribosomal RNA is filed under the name Parapercis aurantiaca. RNAcentral's name for it is "partial 12S rRNA". Lineage: Eukaryota; Metazoa; Chordata; Actinopteri; Uranoscopiformes; Pinguipedidae. The record is from RNAcentral. RNAcentral also lists the same sequence under 1 other name.
CACCGCGGUUAUACGAGGAGUCCAAGCAGAUAGGUAACGGCGUAAAGCGUGGCUAAGGAGACACUAAAAAUAAAGCGGAACACCCUCAAUGCUGUCAUACGUAAGCGAGAUUAAAUAAAGACAUCUACGAAAGUGGCUUUACACCCGCCCCGACCCACGAAAGCUUUGGCA